RNAcentral lists this ribosomal RNA (428 nucleotides) under uncultured bacterium. RNAcentral's name for it is "bacterial SSU rRNA". It matches the Rfam family "Bacterial small subunit ribosomal RNA", at positions 354 to 796 of the family's 1533-position model. The record is from RNAcentral.
GUGGGGAAUAUUGGGCAAUGGGCGAAAGCCUGACCCAGCAACGCCGCGUGAGGGAAGAAGGGUUUCGGCUCGUAAACCUCUGUCCUAUGGGACGAAGGAAGUGACGGUACCAUAGGAGGAAGCCCCGGCUAACUACGUGCCAGCAGCCGCGGUAAUACGUAGGGGGCGAGCGUUGUCCGGAAUGAUUGGGCGUAAAGGGCGCGUAGGCGGCCUGGUAAGUCUGGAGUGAAAGUCCUGCUUUUAAGGUGGGAAUUGCUUUGGAUACUGCUGGGCUUGAGUGCAGGAGAGGAAAGCGGAAUUACCGGUGUAGCGGUGAAAUGCGUAGAGAUCGGUAGGAACACCAGUGGCGAAGGCGGCUUUCUGGACUGAAACUGACGCUGAGGCGCGAAAGCGUGGGGAGCAAACAGGAUUAGAAACCCUAGUAGUCC